This 82-nucleotide transfer RNA is filed under the name Delitschia confertaspora ATCC 74209. It matches the Rfam family "tRNA". Rfam says of the family: Transfer RNA (tRNA) molecules are approximately 80 nucleotides in length. Their secondary structure includes four short double-helical elements and three loops (D, anti-codon, and T loops). Further hydrogen bonds mediate the characteristic L-shaped molecular structure. tRNAs have two regions of fundamental functional importance: the anti-codon, which is responsible for specific mRNA codon recognition, and the 3' end, to which the tRNAs corresponding amino acid is attached (by aminoacyl-tRNA synthetases). tRNAs cope with the degeneracy of the genetic code in two manners: having more than one tRNA (with a specific anti-codon) for a particular amino acid; and 'wobble' base-pairing, i.e. permitting non-standard base-pairing at the 3rd anti-codon position. The record is from Rfam by way of RNAcentral. Lineage: Eukaryota; Fungi; Ascomycota; Dothideomycetes; Pleosporales; Delitschiaceae.
GGCAAGAUGGCCGAGCGGUCUAUGGCGCUAGCUUCAGGUGCUAGUAUCGAAAGAUGCGUGGGUUCAAAUCCCACUCUUGUCA